UUAACAUAGAAACAACUUUUUUUUUUUAAUGGAAAAAACGAAACAUAAACACAACAAAGAUGGAUUAGAUUAUGAUCACCUGAAUUUUUAUUACAACCACUCGUCACUCACUCCCCAUACUAACGCAAACAAUGCAACAUACAUAAACCAUACUUAAGAAGUUAUCAUAAUUUAUUAUUACGAAAAUGAAACGACAAUUAAAGAUCAAAUCACUUGAGGAAACCUUGAGCCAUCUUGGCAUAACCUCCAAUCCCACCACCAGACUCUUCAUCGUCUUUCUUAGCUGCCGGCUGCGGCGGCUCAGUCUGACUUGUUGGCUCAGCCUGACUCGCAGGAGGAGGAGUACCACCGGCGCCGGUGGAGUGCGACGACUCGAAGUCGUGGAGGUACUUCUCGGCCUUGUCGAGGUACUGACCAGUGCUAGUCUUUUCAUCGAACUUACCGUAUUUCUCGGCAGCGUCUAAGAUAUCAGCGGAGGCUCCGGCGACUUUACCCUUGUCGAGUUUGUCUGAUUCGUUACGAGCUGCGGCCUGAGCAGCUUCAGCUACAACCUUGGCACUCGCCAUGAGCUCGGCGUUGGAAGCUGGUCUAGUGGCUGUUUCG
RNAcentral lists this long non-coding RNA (603 nucleotides) under Capsella grandiflora. RNAcentral's name for it is "long non-coding RNA (CGRA_LNC001089)". The record is from RNAcentral. Lineage: Eukaryota; Viridiplantae; Streptophyta; Magnoliopsida; Brassicales; Brassicaceae.